Molecule: ribosomal RNA, 292 nt
Filed under: uncultured bacterium
Lineage: Bacteria
Description: partial 16S ribosomal RNA
Source: RNAcentral
GGACUACUCGGGUAUCUAAUCCUGUUUGCUCCCCACGCUUUCGCUCCUCAGCGUCAGUUACGGCCCAGAGACCCGCCUUCGCCACCGGUGUUCCUCCUGAUAUCUGCGCAUUUCACCGCUACACCAGGAAUUCCAGUCUCCCCUACCGCACUCUAGUCUGCCCGUAUCGACUGCAGGCUCGGGGUUGAGCCCCGAGUUUUCACAGCCGACGCGACAGACCGCCUACGAGCUCUUUACGCCCAAUAAUUCCGGACAACGCUUGCACCCUACGUAUUACCGCGGCGGCUGGCAC